Molecule: long non-coding RNA, 541 nt
Filed under: Coturnix japonica (Japanese quail)
Lineage: Eukaryota; Metazoa; Chordata; Aves; Galliformes; Phasianidae
Description: lncRNA (ENSCJPG00005003765.1)
Source: RNAcentral
UUUCUGAAUUAAUAACUAGACGGUGAGUAAUGUACACUGUUUUCUCUCUUUUGAAGGACUGAGAAAAUAACUUGCAAGUUCAACUGCUGUGGACAGCAGAGUUAUGAUGUAGAAUGGAACUUCAAGAAUGGAUGUCCAGUAUUCAUCUUUGAAAGGAAUAUUACUGGCUUGCCAAAUUAGAGAAGAUAUUGAUAUUAUUGGAGGAGCAGCUUCCUGAGAGAGGAUAAUCCAGUGAUACAGUAGAUGAUUGUUAUAUAUAAAGUAUUUUAUUGCCUUUCACGCUCCAGUUUGACCUCCAGUCCCUGCUAAAUGAAGAAGCUAUCACAGUAAGAUAAUGUGCUUAUCUCAUUUUUAAUGAAAAUGAAUUAGUGCCAGUGACAAUGCUGUGACAAACAAAAUGCUCUAAACUUUUAUUCUCAUCAGGGGGGAUAUAUUUUACUCAUUUUGAAGGGGAAGCUGGUAGGUGGUAAGGCAGCCUUCUCUUUUCCCACAAAUGUCUGCUGAUACUGUUUUUAAAAAUAAAAUGAGGGAAAGUCCUGUA